Long non-coding RNA from Rhea pennata, 341 nucleotides. RefSeq lists it as uncharacterized. The transcript is spliced from 2 exons. Lineage: Eukaryota; Metazoa; Chordata; Aves; Rheiformes; Rheidae. The record is from RefSeq and is a predicted model, not a curated record.
UUUGGGUUGCCGCGGGGUGGGGAAGCGCCGAGCCCCACGGGGUGGCCGAGCUCGGGUUCAGGAGCCGAGGAGCAGGGCGCGGAGGUCCGGCGCGGGGCUGCUGCGGGGGCCGGACGGCCGCGGAGCUUGCAAGCCGGUGGUACAGAUUUCGCUGCACGGGAGGUGGUACUCGUUUUGGAUUGCAACUGUUGCAGGAGAAAAGCCAGCAGCAGACAGCAGGAGACAGGCCCGGCAGACCCGUGCCAGCGGUGAGCAGCUGCUGCAGGACCCGCGGCGGCCGCGGGGUUAUUGGCCGAAUCCUGAACUUCUCCCGCUGGCCAUAAAGCAAAACUUCUUACCUA